Molecule: long non-coding RNA, 1742 nt
Filed under: Zea mays
Lineage: Eukaryota; Viridiplantae; Streptophyta; Magnoliopsida; Poales; Poaceae
Description: long non-coding RNA (ZMAY_LNC003946)
Source: RNAcentral
UGAGGUGUCACUCAUCCAUGGCUCCUAGGUGCCUAUAUAAGGAUGUGCCCCCCUCUUGCCAUGACAUACCAUCCCACCCCCAUCCACACACAUUCAAGGGCAAGGUAGAAGUAAAGUAGUCAUAGUUCUUAAGGCGGUAAGGCGAGACAAGGCGUUGGGCCCCCGCCUGGACGCCUAGGGGAUGCCUAGGCGCUUACUAAGGCGACGCCUUACCAAUUAAAGAAAAAGGGAGAAAGAAAAAAAAAGAAGGAAUGGGUAGAAGAGAUGGCCCAGCCCACUAGGUAGGCAGCCCAUAUAUCCUCCCUGAUGGUUAGGGUUGCUCCCAUCUCACUGUCGCUGCUCCUGUCUGUCACAGCAUCGCUACUCGUCCACAUCACAGCAUCGCUGCUCCUGCUCCCCCAAGCUCGGCGCUCCCCCGAGUCUCAGCGUCGCCGCUCCCCCGAGUUCUGCACCGCCGCUCCCUCGAGCUCGUCACUCCCCCGAGUUCUGCGCCGCCGAUCCCGCUCCCCAAAGUCUCUGCUAGGCUUCUUCCCCCUCCCCUCUUGCCUCUCUUGUUGACUCUUGGAUAGGCGACGGGGACGCCUAGACUUUUUGGCCGCCUGGACGCCUAGGCGUCGCCUAGACGACGCCUUUGCAACCAUGAAAGUAGUGUUAAAGUAUAGAAGCCCUUGCAUAAGCAUGUGUCCAUGUUGUAAGUAUUUUGUUAUGCUGUAAAAUUUCUAUUUGCUUAGUGCAUAAGUUGUGAUCCAUCUAAAGGAGUGCUCUGCCUCCCGGGAUCACAAGGCUUCAUUUGUAGGAGUGCUCUGCCUCCCGGAAGCCAGCUUCAUCUGUAGGAGUGCUCUGCCUCCCGAAAGCAAAUAUGGCUGGCUUUAUCGCCUAUCGUGCACUAAGUAACUAGACAUUAAAUGUGAACUAUUGUAAUGUAUUGAUGUAUGUUAUUUUGAUUGUUGUAUAUCCACUCGUGAUGUCUCUUUAGUAGAACCAGUUCCAGAAGAGAACCCGGAGGAGCCAGGAGACGAAGAACAUGACGCCGCGGACGCACAACUGAACGAAGGCAAGUCUCAUCGACCUCUUGCUUUGAUCAUGGUUGCUUCUAAGUGAGAAAAUAUAUAAAACUUGCUAGACAUAGUUGUUGCAUAAGAUACACCUGAUAUUGAGUGAACAAGAGAAACUAUGCAUUGAUGUCAUGAUGCAUGUUGAUUGCAUGAAUAUCUUAUACCUUGAUACUUGAUGAAACUGGAUGGAAAUGAGGCUAGAGUAGCAUAGUAAGUGUGGGAGCAUGCACUACCGUGGUGGUAGACUUGCGACCGAAUUGCCGUGGCGACAUCUCAGGUUUGCUAGUUUUGGUUGGUGGCUACUCUGGUGAACCAUAUGAACUGUGUGUUGUGGUGCCAUCUAACCUAACUUAUUACCAAUGUGAUCGCAUGAGCUUGUAUGGGAAAGCCUUAGCCUAAACCACUGGCUGGCCUGUUAGUCAUCCGAGGUGGAUAUGUUUUGGGUUGGAGACCUGAGUGGUCAGGACCCAGGGGUUUGUGGGCGCUAGGCGAGGUUGAGCCAUGUUUGGGUGUCGGCUAUGACAGAGCCGUCUUGGGACGGUGAUGUGCGUGUGGGUACAGCGUACAACCUCUGCAGAGUGUAUAAUCCAUUAGAAUGGUCCGUGUCCUCGGUAUAGGACAGAUUAUGGUGUGGACACUUCAACUAGUUGAGCUACCUGACUUAUGAGAUGGAUAACAAGCAUGGAA